Molecule: ribosomal RNA, 493 nt
Filed under: uncultured bacterium
Lineage: Bacteria
Description: partial 16S ribosomal RNA
Rfam family: Bacterial small subunit ribosomal RNA
Source: RNAcentral
AUUGAACGCUGGCGGCAUGCUUUACACAUGCAAGUCGAACGGUAACAGGUUAAGCUGACGAGUGGCGAACGGGUGAGUAAUGCAUCGGAACGUGCCCGGUCGUGGGGGAUAACGCAGCGAAAGCUGCGCUAAUACCGCAUACGAUCUAAGGAUGAAAGCGGGGGACCGUAAGGCCUCGCGCGAUCGGAGCGGCCGAUGUCAGAUUAGGUAGUUGGUGGGGUAAAGGCUCACCAAGCCAACGAUCUGUAGCUGGUCUGAGAGGACGACCAGCCACACUGGGACUGAGACACGGCCCAGACUCCUACGGGAGGCAGCAGUGGGGAAUUUUGGACAAUGGGCGCAAGCCUGAUCCAGCAAUGCCGCGUGCAGGAAGAAGGCCUUCGGGUUGUAAAGCUCUUUCGCAAGGGAAGAAAACUUAAGCUCUAACAUAGCUUGAGGUUGACGGUACCUUGAUAAGAAGCACCGGCUAACUACGUGCCAGCAGCCGCCGUAA